AGAGUUUGAUCAUGGCUCAGAAUGAACGCUGGCGGCAUGGAUUAGGCAUGCAAGUCGAACGGUCCUGCUCGCAGGAUAGUGGCGAAGGGGUGAGUAACGCGUGAGUAACCUGCCCUGAGGUUGGGGAUAGCCCCGCGAAAGUGGGAUUAAUACCGAAUGUGGCGUUUUGCUGCAAGGAAAAAUUGCUAAAGGAGUGAUCCGCCUUAGGAUGGACUCGCGUCCUAUUAGCUGGUUGGUGGGGUAAUGGCCCACCAAGGCUACGACAGGUAGGUGGUCUGAGAGGAUGGUCACCCACACUGGGACUGAGACACUGCCCAGACUCCUACGGGAGGCUGCAGUCGAGAAUCUUCCGCAAUGAGCGCAAGCUUGACGGAGCGAUGCCGCGUGAGGGAUGAAGGCUUUCGGGUCGUAAACCUCUGUCACCCGGAACGA
Molecule: ribosomal RNA, 432 nt
Filed under: uncultured bacterium
Lineage: Bacteria
Description: bacterial SSU rRNA
Rfam family: Bacterial small subunit ribosomal RNA
Source: RNAcentral